This 78-nucleotide small RNA is filed under the name Flavobacterium nitrogenifigens. RNAcentral describes it as "Flavo-1 RNA". It matches the Rfam family "Flavo-1 RNA". Lineage: Bacteria; Pseudomonadati; Bacteroidota; Flavobacteriia; Flavobacteriales; Flavobacteriaceae. The record is from RNAcentral.
UUUUAGCCCCGAUAGGAACGGUAUCCUUUUUCUGGCUUCUUUAGACAGAAAAAGAUAUAGUGGAUAGCGGGACAGAAG